Molecule: long non-coding RNA, 581 nt
Organism: Sesamum indicum (sesame)
Lineage: Eukaryota; Viridiplantae; Streptophyta; Magnoliopsida; Lamiales; Pedaliaceae
Source: RefSeq, a predicted model, not a curated record
AUCUUCUUCACAAAUUUUUCUUCUCUUCUAACACAAUUCCAUGACCCACCGACUUAAAUCUAUACCGUUCGACUCCUCUCAACAUGACGAAUAUUUGCAUCCGAUUGGAUUCCAUUUUUAUCAACAUCGCUUGAAGCCGGUAAAAUCUCCUCUGCCGCGAUUUCAGCUUCGAUUCAACGCCAUCUGAAUGCCGAUCGUCGUCAAACCGCCACCAAUAGUUUGCUCAUCGCCCGACGAAUCCAAUAUACCCUCACCCAUCCAUUUUCAUCAACGAAUGGCGACUAAUGCUCCUCCACCCAACGACGUCCAUGUUCAAUUACGAUUUGCCGAUGAUCUGAAAAUGUGGUGUGAUUGGACUUUAGUUUUGCUGAAUUUUUCUCAAUUUUAUGUGAUUUUUAGAAUUGAAAGUUGAUUCAAUUAUUGAUGGCUACUGUUUCGCCAUCAAUAUUUGCUGCCAAUGCAUGUGGUGCUUUCAUAUGAUUUGUACUCUUUUGAGACAUCUGUCGGCUAUGAAGUUACUUUUUCUGCACUAAGUCACUUGGAUGCAUAUACUUUCAAAAAAAUUACUAUUUACCCGUGAA